Molecule: non-coding RNA, 104 nt
Filed under: Lysinibacillus sphaericus
Lineage: Bacteria; Bacillati; Bacillota; Bacilli; Caryophanales; Bacillaceae
Description: SAM-I sequence
Rfam family: SAM riboswitch aptamer (S box leader)
About the family: The SAM riboswitch is found upstream of a number of genes which code for proteins involved in methionine or cysteine biosynthesis in Gram-positive bacteria. The SAM riboswitch acts at the level of transcription termination control.
Source: RNAcentral
CUCUUAUCAAGAGUAGCUGAGGGACUGGCCCUAUGAAGCUCGGCAACCCCCCUUUUAGGGAAGGUGCUAAAUCCUGCAAACGAUAUCCGUUUGAAAGAUAAGAG